UCUGUGGGCUUUGUGUACUCAUGUUCUCUCUCUUUUCCUUUGUAGGCAAUUUAUAGCAUUGAUCUACAGUGAUCUGUACUGAUCUAAAGCGCUGAUCUACACUGAUCUAGACUGAUCUCGCUGACUUCAAUGUGAAGGUACACAGUUGGAAGAGCUGUCCCGUGAGCAGCUGAGGCGAGGAGAAGCCAGAGGUAGAAUUGGGAAGGACUUGAAUGAGUGGGUCUAUUUCCAUGGCUUUAGCUGCUUCAGAGACCCAGCAGUAUAGGCUCGGUUCAACAUUCGGCAGAAACUACUACUAUGGCUGGAUUCUGGUCCAACAAGUUGCCACGAACCCAGCUGUGGAUGGGAUCUUCCACACUCUCGCAUCAGCGUACCUGUCUGGCCUUAGCUCCUUUUUUUUUCCUCUCCCUCUCCCUAGGUUAAUCUCAUAUAAUUAUGUGUGUACAUGUCUGAGGGCAGGGACUAUGCCUUAUUCAUCUUUGUAUUAUUCAAGAGCCUGGCCCAGAGUGGUUGCUUAAGAAAUGGGUAUUAGAGAUAUUUACAUGUGCGCUAGAAAUUCUCGUUCAGAUUCCUGUAUUUGGACAACGGGCGUUCAGCUUUCUGGAUAGGAUAAAAUGGAAUCUAUGGGCUUUAGGUACAUAGUGGCAUUUAAGGGCUGCUAUGCGAGUUCAGAAUACCCCAUGACUGUCCAGUAUUAACCUCACUUCUGUCAGUAGCCAUGUCUCAAUGCUAGGUGACUCUUAGCCUGACAUGUUUUGGCAAGAAAGGACUCUCUACCUGGUUUGCCUAAUCUACCCUGGCUUCUAGUUUCAACAAGAAUUAUUUACAUGCAUUUAAUUUUAGCUCUUGGGCUAGAACAUGUCAUUGUUCUUUUUACUCACCUCCUCCCCUCGCUUUUGGAAUCAGGACAGGCAUCUUCAGUUCUCGUUGUUCCUGUUUGGUGUGCUCCUAGAUGGAUUUUAGCUCUGUCCUUCAGCUCUCAUGGCACUCCAAGAUAUUUUUGAGUCAUGUUUCCUUUUAUAAGAAAAUAUAGACUAUGUCAAUACAAAGGGAAAUGGAGCUUGGUGGGAAUUCUUUAAAUCAUCCAGGGACCUCAUAUCCUGGCUUGAAGGAAAAUUAAAGCAAUGAAUUUGGAUUCAUUUAUCUCCUCGGAUAGUUCUUCUCUAGUCAACUGACCGGAUAAUGCAUUUAGCUCUUAUUCAAUUUUAUCUCUUACUGUCACGGGGAAUCUAGAAGAAAAAAUAUAGCUGAGGCUUAGUUUUGAAGAAGUCAUUGUUAAUAGAAUUUUAUUUUUUCCCAUAUUAAGAAGAGAAUGAACAUCCUAGGAAAAUAAUAAUGAGCUUGGGGCAAAGCAAUGUUUUGCUGAGUACACCAUGAAAUGGAAAGUCCUCACAGCAAGCUUGCAGAAGUGCUCUGAGGAGUCUCUUGCACAACUCUGUUUCUUUAUAGUACUUACACAAUCACAUUUCUUUUUUUUUUUUAAAGAUUUUAUUUAUUUAUUUGACAGACAGAGAUCACAAGUAGGCAGAGAGGCAGGCAGAGAGAGAGGAGGAAGCAGGCUCCCUGCUGAGCAGAGAGCCCGAUGCGGGCUCGAUCGCAGGACCCUGGGAUCAUGAUCUGAGCCGGAGACAGAGGCUUAACCCACUGAGCCACCCAGGCGCCCCAUAUUUCUUAAUGACUUUCUAUAAACAAUUUUUUUGACAAGAAGCAUACAGUCGUAAAAAUAAAGAGAUAACUUUGGCAGAAAGACAUUAAUGGUUUCUUACUUCUAGACUAUGACAGACAUAAAGUUAUAGAUUUCUCUAGUACAGUUUUCCUAUCAAUUGUGGCAGACACAGGAAAUGCAACACACGGUAGGAGGUAUCAGUUCGCCACCUAGAGGAGGUAUAUAGAAUUCCAUAUUUCUCCAAACAGCUUUAGUGGGAUUGAUUCAUUCAUUUAUUCAUUCACUCACUCAUUCAUUCAUUAAAUUAUGUACUUAUUUAAUUAUUUAAAAACAAUUAAAUACUUAUUAGGCUUAGUUUUGUACCAGUGCAAAUUUGAUAAUCUAACCAAGUGCUAUGAGCUCAAAGAAAGCAUUAAAUGUAUCUCCUUUUACUUGCACAGUUGCUUCUAUUUAUUUAUUUGAAGAUUUAUUUAUCUGUUUUAGAGAGAGCAGAGUGGGAGGAGGGAGGAGAAGGAGAGGGUGAGGGAGAGAGAAUCUUAAGCAGACUCCCUGCUGAGUGUGGAGCCCGACACGGGGCUCAAUCUCACAAUCCUGAGAUCAUGACCCGAGGUGAAAUUGAGAGUCAGGCACUUAACUGACUGAGCCAUCCAAGUGCCCCGCAGCUGCCUCUCCUUAAACUCUUUUAUUUUUAAAAGACUGUAACUCAAAUAUCUGGACAAUUCUAAAUAUAUUUCUGAUGUCUAUUACUUUCAGCUCUUGAGCUAUAAUAAAGCCUGUUUUUGUUUGUUUGUUUGUUUGUUUUUAAUUUGUUCCACCCAUUUGCAGUGUAGCUAUUCAGGUCUUCUCUAUACCAAUUGGGAAAUGGAGUCUCGGGGAAAUUAAAUAACAAGUUUCAGGGGUCACAACUACUUCAUGAUAGUGCCAAUGUCUGGACCUAUACCAGUCUAGCCCCAGAGCCAUCACCCUGCUCAGAUCUGGUCUAGUAGCGAUGCUCACUAACAGCCAGCCUGCAGGUCGGGGUGUGGACAGUGCUUACAGGUUGAAAGGAGAUCAUGGCCAGUAGCACCAUAAAGUAUAAAGUAGGCUUGGGAAGAGCUUGAUGAAGCCAUCCAAC
Molecule: long non-coding RNA, 2780 nt
Filed under: Mustela putorius furo (domestic ferret)
Lineage: Eukaryota; Metazoa; Chordata; Mammalia; Carnivora; Mustelidae
Description: lncRNA (ENSMPUG00000027628.1)
Source: RNAcentral